UACGGAGGGAGCUAGCGUUAUUCGGAAUUACUGGGCGUAAAGCGCACGUAGGCGGCUUUGUAAGUUAGAGGUGAAAGCCCGGAGCUCAACUCCGGAACUGCCUUUAAGACUGCAUCGCUUGAAUCCUGGAGAGGCGAGUGGAAUUCCGAGUGUAGAGGUGAAAUUCGUAGAUAUUCGGAAGAACACCAGUGGCGAAGGCGACUCGCUGGACAGGUAUUGACGCUGAGGUGCGAAAGCGUGGGGAGCAAACAGG
RNAcentral lists this ribosomal RNA (253 nucleotides) under uncultured bacterium. RNAcentral's name for it is "partial 16S ribosomal RNA". It matches the Rfam family "Bacterial small subunit ribosomal RNA", at positions 524 to 776 of the family's 1533-position model. The record is from RNAcentral.